UGCCAGACUCCUACGGGAGGCAGCAGUGGGGAAUAUUGCACAAUGGGGGAAACCCUGAUGCAGCGACGCCGCGUGAGUGAAGAAGUAAUUCGUUAUGUAAAGCUCUAUCAGCAGGGAAGAAAAUGACGGCACCUGAGUAAGAAGCCCCGGCUAACUACGUGCCAGCAGCCGCGGUAAUACGUAGGGGGCAAGCGUUAUCCGGAUUUACUGGGUGUAAAGGGAGCGUAGACGGCAAUACAAGUCGGAAGUGAAAUACCCGGGCUCAACCUGGGAACUGCUUUGGAAACUGUAUGGCUGGAGUGCUGGAGAGGUAAGCGGAAUUCCUAGUGUAGCGGUGAAAUGCGUAGAUAUUAGGAGGAACACCAGUGGCGAAGGCGGCUUACUGGACAGUAACUGACGUUGAGGCUCGAAAGCGUGGGGAGCAAACAGGAUUAGAUACCCCUGUA
RNAcentral lists this ribosomal RNA (446 nucleotides) under uncultured bacterium. Its description in RNAcentral is "bacterial SSU rRNA". It matches the Rfam family "Bacterial small subunit ribosomal RNA", at positions 329 to 792 of the family's 1533-position model. The record is from RNAcentral.